CUCUUAUAAAGAGAGGCGGAGGGAAGUGCCCUAUGAAGCCCGGCAACCAUCACAUUUGUGGAAAGGUGCCAAAUCACUCAAAGUUUUAACUUUGACAGAUAAGAG
RNAcentral lists this non-coding RNA (105 nucleotides) under Ureibacillus manganicus. RNAcentral's name for it is "Lysinibacillus manganicus SAM-I sequence". It matches the Rfam family "SAM riboswitch aptamer (S box leader)". Rfam says of the family: The SAM riboswitch is found upstream of a number of genes which code for proteins involved in methionine or cysteine biosynthesis in Gram-positive bacteria. The SAM riboswitch acts at the level of transcription termination control. The predicted structure consists of a complex stem-loop region followed by a single stem loop terminator region. RNAcentral also lists the same sequence under 1 other name. The record is from RNAcentral. Lineage: Bacteria; Bacillati; Bacillota; Bacilli; Caryophanales; Caryophanaceae.